Molecule: long non-coding RNA, 875 nt
Organism: Astatotilapia calliptera (eastern happy)
Lineage: Eukaryota; Metazoa; Chordata; Actinopteri; Cichliformes; Cichlidae
Source: Ensembl
GAGAGAGAUAAUACCACAUAGACUACAUGAAAUUCUGCAGUAAUGGUAAUAGCUUAAAAUCACUCCACAAUAAAUCUGUCCGAUAUAGUUUGUUCUGCUUGCCUGCAUGCACAUAAAAUACUUUAAUUCCUAGAUACAUUUGUAUUAACUGAAACUAUUAACUACCAACCUAUCCAAUAUCCACAAUAUCCAAAACAAGCAAAAACCUCAAAUACCUGAGUCACUAUACCUAGGUCUUAGAAACUGGAGAAAGAAAAAAAAAAAACACUGUGUCGGCCACAAUGACAUCACCCACUGGUUUGGACAUUUUAAAGCAUUGUGUUUGUGCUUUUUUUACUAUAAAAAAAACUAUAAAAUAAAACUAAUUUUUAAUAAAAGGGGAAAAUAUUCAUAACAGGCAAAAACUGCUUUUUUGUUGCAGGCUGUAAAUGUCACGGCUGGCGGAGUGAGCCGUGUGGAGUGGAGGAAAAGGAGGACCCAAAAUGCAGCAAACUGAUGAUACGAGUGAAGUUUAUUUACACGGUGGCAGUGGCAAAAACAGGCAAUGAAGCAUGAGUAAUGACAAACCUAAACUGGGAGAAACUAAAGAGCAAACCUGAAAUCUUACAAAACGGAGAGCGGAGCAGAGAGACGCAGACCAAGGACCAGGAUACCAAGAAACACAGACGAGCCGACCACGAACACAGACCGACACCCACACAAGGUGACAGGACAACAUGAUGGUGUUGUUCCUGGGACCACUCACUCAGAUUGGGGGUCCCUGCUCUGAGUACGAUGGAUAGCAUGGGGACCACUGUUGCCUUCCACCUCCACAUCUUCUCAAGCUCCUCUCUCAGCCCUCUUAAAGAUAUGCUUGUGAAGGUGGAAUAUGGGGG